UGAGAAAAGAAUUAAUUAAUUAUAUUUUUGUGUUUGACAAGGCCUUCAAAAACAUUUUUAAAAUGAAUUUUAAAAGGGAAAUAAAAGAGAAAAUCCAUAAAGCCCUUCAAAACACCAAAUAAAUGGUCAAACAAAUUAUGAAAGGUUGGAAAUAAAAUGAGACAUAAAAUAAAUUUUUUCAGAAAUUUAAAAUGCAUAAAAGUAUUUUUAAACCAAUUAAAA
Molecule: long non-coding RNA, 222 nt
Filed under: Lathyrus oleraceus (garden pea)
Lineage: Eukaryota; Viridiplantae; Streptophyta; Magnoliopsida; Fabales; Fabaceae
Description: Pisum sativum (pea) long non-coding RNA (PSAT_LNC001371)
Source: RNAcentral